AUUGAACGCUGGCGGAAUGCUUUACACAUGCAAGUCGAACGGCAGCACGGGUGCUUGCACCUGGUGGCGAGUGGCGAACGGGUGAGUAAUACAUCGGAACGUACCCAGUCGUGGGGGAUAACGUAGCGAAAGUUACGCUAAGACCGCAUACGUCCUGAGGGAGAAAGCGGGGGACCGUAAGGCCUCGCGCGAUUGGAGCGGCCGAUGUCUGAUUAGCUAGUUGGUGAGGUAAAGGCUCACCAAGGCGACGAUCAGUAGCUGGUCUGAGAGGAUGAUCAGCCACACUGGAACUGAGACACGGUCCAGACUCCUACGGGAGGCAGCAGUGGGGAAUUUUGGACAAUGGGCGAAAGCCUGAUCCAGCCAUUCCGCGUGAGUGAAGAAGGCCUUCGGGUUGUAAAGCUCUUUCGGCAGGAACGAAACGCUCUAGAUCAAUACCCUGGGGUAAUGACGGUACCUGAAGAAGAAGCACCGGCUAACUACGUGCCAGCCGCCGCGGUAA
RNAcentral lists this ribosomal RNA (502 nucleotides) under uncultured bacterium. RNAcentral's name for it is "partial 16S ribosomal RNA". It matches the Rfam family "Bacterial small subunit ribosomal RNA", at positions 30 to 523 of the family's 1533-position model. The record is from RNAcentral.